Mustela lutreola (European mink) is the source of this 596-nucleotide long non-coding RNA. RefSeq lists it as uncharacterized. The record is from RefSeq and is a predicted model, not a curated record. NCBI's taxonomy places the organism in Eukaryota, Metazoa, Chordata, Mammalia, Carnivora, Mustelidae. The transcript is spliced from 2 exons.
GAAUCUUUCUGAUUUGGUGAGAAUUAUUUUAUGGCCAAUGACGCACACAUUCCCUGUCGGAUGAGUGGAAAAGGUGCAGUGGCCUCUUCACCCGGAACAGCGAGUCCUGGAACUUCUGUUUCCGCCCAUAGUACAAUAACUGUGUGACUUGAUUUCCCCCCACAUCAUUGUGUCAGUUCUUGCUGAUAAAAACUGUAGGGGUUCUUUGUGAUUUUUCAGAUAAAAAUGCCUCAAAUACUGUAAACCAUUACUUUUGGAAAAGGGAAUUUAAUUUGUUGUGCAUGCAGACAACACUUUUGGGGAAUAUUGUAUGUGUAUGUAUAUGCUUGAUAUUAUUUAAAAGUUGUUUCUUACCUUUGUUUAACUAAUACUGUAUCUACUUCUGUUUUUGGAAUGUAUUGUCAACCAACUUAUUUAUGUUUCCUUAGCUUUUUAUUUCAUUACUGGGGAAAAUGUUGUAUUUAUUUGAUACAAACAGUCCUUUUCUUUUGGAAUGAUAACACUCUUGUUUUUAAAAUAUAUAUGAGAUCAUUACACUGGUGCUAUUUUCCUGACUCUAAAAAGGAACUUUUAAAUAAAUUAGUUAUUGUCUUCUG